RNAcentral lists this ribosomal RNA (772 nucleotides) under Staphylococcus epidermidis. RNAcentral's name for it is "bacterial LSU rRNA". It matches the Rfam family "Bacterial large subunit ribosomal RNA", at positions 1 to 770 of the family's 2925-position model. The record is from RNAcentral. Lineage: Bacteria; Bacillati; Bacillota; Bacilli; Caryophanales; Staphylococcaceae.
AGAUUAAGUUAUUAAGGGCGCACGGUGGAUGCCUUGGCACUAGAAGCCGAUGAAGGACGUUACUAACGACGAUAUGCUUUGGGUAGCUGUAAGUAAGCGUUGAUCCAGAGAUUUCCGAAUGGGGGAACCCAGCAUGAGUUAUGUCAUGUUAUCGACAUGUGAAUUUAUAGCAUGUCAGAAGGCAGACCCGGAGAACUGAAACAUCUUAGUACCCGGAGGAAGAGAAAGAAAAAUCGAUUCCCUGAGUAGCGGCGAGCGAAACGGGAAGAGCCCAAACCAACAAGCUUGCUUGUUGGGGUUGUAGGACACUCUAUACGGAGUUACAAAAGAACAUGUUAGACGAAUCAUCUGGAAAGAUGAAUCAAAGAAGGUAAUAAUCCUGUAGUCGAAAACAUAUUCUCUCUUGAGUGGAUCCUGAGUACGACGGAGCACGUGAAAUUCCGUCGGAAUCUGGGAGGACCAUCUCCUAAGGCUAAAUACUCUCUAGUGACCGAUAGUGAACCAGUACCGUGAGGGAAAGGUGAAAAGUACCCCGGAAGGGGAGUGAAAGAGAACUUGAAACCGUGUGCUUACAAGUAGUCAGAGCCCGUUAAUGGGUGAUGGCGUGCCUUUUGUAGAAUGAACCGGCGAGUUACGAUCUGAUGCAAGGUUAAGCAGCAAAUGUGGAGCCGCAGCGAAAGCGAGUCUGAAUAGGGCGUUGAGUAUUUGGUCGUAGACCGAAACCAGGUGAUCUACCCUUGGUCAGGUUGAAGUUCAGGUAACACUGAAUGGA